RNAcentral lists this ribosomal RNA (498 nucleotides) under uncultured bacterium. Its description in RNAcentral is "partial 16S ribosomal RNA". It matches the Rfam family "Bacterial small subunit ribosomal RNA", at positions 899 to 1397 of the family's 1533-position model. The record is from RNAcentral.
ACUCAAAUGAAUUGACGGGGGCCCGCACAAGCGGUGGAGCAUGUGGUUUAAUUCGAUGCAACGCGAAGAACCUUACCUACUCUUGAAUCCACGGAAUCUGCUAGAAAUAGUGGAGUGCCUUCGGGAACCGUGAGACAGGUGCUGCAUGGCUGUCGUCAGCUCGUGUCGUGAGAUGUUGGGUUAAGUCCCGUAACGAGCGCAACCCUUGUCCUUAGUUACCAGCGAGUUAUGUCGGGGACUUUAAGGAGACUGCCGGUGAUAAACCGGAGGAAGGUGGGGAUGACGUCAAGUCCUCAUGGCCCUUACGAGUAGGGCUACACACGUGCUACAAUGGCCGGUACAAAGGGUUGCCAACCUGCAAAGGGGAGCUAAUCUCAAAAAGCCGGUCGUAGUCCGGAUUGGAGUCUGCAACUCGACUCCAUGAAGCUGGAAUCGCUAGUAAUCGCGGAUCAGCACGCCGCGGUGAAUACGUUCCCGGGCCUUGCACACACCGCCCGU